AGUGAACGCUGGCGGUAGGCCUAACACAUGCAAGUCGAACGGCAGCACAGUAAGAGCUUGCUCUUACGGGUGGCGAGUGGCGGACGGGUGAGGAAUACAUCGGAAUCUACUUUUUCGUGGGGGAUAACGUAGGGAAACUUACGCUAAUACCGCAUACGACCUACGGGUGAAAGCAGGGGAUCUUCGGACCUUGCGCGAUUGAAUGAGCCGAUGCCGGAUUAGCUAGUUGGCGGGGUAAAGGCCCACCAAGGCGACGAUCCGUAGCUGGUCUGAGAGGAUGAUCAGCCACACUGGAACUGAGACACGGUCCAGACUCCUACGGGAGGCAGCAGUGGGGAAUAUUGGACAAUGGGCGCAAGCCCGAUCCAGCCAUACCGCGUGGGUGAAGAAGGCCUUCGGGUUGUAAAGCCCUUUUGUUGGGAAAGAAAAGCAGCAGGUUAAUACCCCACUGUUCUGACGGUACCCAAAGAAUAAGCACCGGCUAACUUCGUG
Molecule: ribosomal RNA, 492 nt
Filed under: uncultured bacterium
Lineage: Bacteria
Description: partial 16S ribosomal RNA
Rfam family: Bacterial small subunit ribosomal RNA
Source: RNAcentral